CGAUGGCAUUACCAGGUUUACAUGCAAGGGCCAACCAGUCUAUCACUUCAUGAAUACCAGCACAUUUACUGAGUUCACAGUGGUGGAAGAGUCUUCUGUUGCUAAGGUAGAUGACGCAGCUCCUCCUGAGAAAGUCUGUUUGAUUGGUUGUGGAUUUUCCACUGGAUUUGGGGCUGCUGUUAAGACGGGCAAGGUAACCCCAGGUUCCACCUGCACUGUCUUUGGCCUUGGAGGAGUUGGCUUAUCGGUCAUCAUGGGCUGCAUGUCAGCUGGGGCCUCCAGGAUCAUUGGGAUCAACCUCAAUAAAGCCAAGUUUGAGAAGGCCCUGGCUGUAGGAGCCACAUAGUGCAUCAGCCCCAAGGACUCUGUCAAGCCCAUCAGUGAGGUGCUGUCAGAAAUGACAGGCAACAGUGGGGGCUAUACUUUUGAAGUUAUUGGGCGUCUUGAAACCAUGGUCGAUGCCCUUGCAUCCUGCCACAUGAACUAUGGGAUCAGUGUGGUGGUGGGUGCGGCCUCCUUCAGC
Long non-coding RNA from Octodon degus (degu), 523 nucleotides. RefSeq lists it as uncharacterized. The record is from RefSeq and is a predicted model, not a curated record. Lineage: Eukaryota; Metazoa; Chordata; Mammalia; Rodentia; Octodontidae. The transcript has 3 exons.